GGCGGCGGUCUCUUCGACUGAUGG
RNAcentral lists this non-coding RNA (24 nucleotides) under Arabidopsis thaliana (thale cress). Lineage: Eukaryota; Viridiplantae; Streptophyta; Magnoliopsida; Brassicales; Brassicaceae. The record is from RNAcentral.